Molecule: ribosomal RNA, 423 nt
Filed under: uncultured bacterium
Lineage: Bacteria
Description: bacterial SSU rRNA
Rfam family: Bacterial small subunit ribosomal RNA
Source: RNAcentral
UCUUCCGCAAUGGACGAAAGUCUGACGGAGCAACGCCGCGUGAGUGAUGAAGGUUUUCGGAUCGUAAAGCUCUGUUGGUAGGGAAGAACAAGUACCGUUCGAAUAGGGCGGUACCUUGACGGUAACUAACCAGAAGGCCACGGCUUACUACGUGCCAGCAGCUGCGGUAAUACGUAGGUGGCAAGCGUUGUCCGGACUUUUUGGGCGUAAAGGGCUCGCAGGCGGUUUCUUAAGUCUGAUGUGAAAGCCCCCGGCUCAACCGGGGAGGGUCAUUGGAAACUGGGGAACUUGAGUGCAGAAGAGGAGAGUGGAAUUCCACGUGUAGCGGUGAAAUGCGUAGAGAUGUGGAGGAACACCAGUGGCGAAGGCGACUCUCUGGUCUGUAACUGACGCUGAGGAGCGAAAGCGUGGGGAGCGAACAGG